UACGUAGGGACCAAGCGUUGUCCGGAAUUAUUGGGCGUAAAGCGCGUGUAGGCGGCUUGCCAAGUCCGGUGUGAAAUGUCGGGGCUCAACCCCGGAACUGCAUUGGAAACUGGCUUGCUUGAGUCCGGAAGAGGAGACUGGAAUUCCUGGUGUAGCGGUGAAAUGCGCAGAUAUCAGGAAGAACACCCGUGGCGAAGGCGGGUCUCUGGGACGGUACUGACGCUGAGACGCGAAAGCGUGGGGAGCAAACAGG
Molecule: ribosomal RNA, 253 nt
Filed under: uncultured bacterium
Lineage: Bacteria
Description: partial 16S ribosomal RNA
Rfam family: Bacterial small subunit ribosomal RNA
Source: RNAcentral